AGUGGGGAAUCUUAGACAAUGGGCGCAAGCCUGAUCUAGCCAUGCCGCGUGAGUGAUGAAGGCCUUAGGGUCGUAAAGCUCUUUCGCCAGGGAUGAUAAUGACAGUACCUGGUAAAGAAACCCCGGCUAACUCCGUGCCAGCAGCCGCGGUAAUACGGAGGGGGUUAGCGUUGUUCGGAAUUACUGGGCGUAAAGCGUACGUAGGCGGAUCAGAAAGUUAGGGGUGAAAUCCCGAGGCUCAACCUCGGAACUGCCUCUAAAACUCCUGGUCUUGAGUUCGAGAGAGGUGAGUGGAAUUCCAAGUGUAGAGGUGAAAUUCGUAGAUAUUUGGAGGAACACCAGUGGCGAAGGCGGCUCACUGGCUCGAUACUGACGCUGAGGUACGAAAGUGUGGGGAGCAAACAGGAUUAGAUACCCUGGUAGUCCACACCGUAAACGAUGAAUGCCAGUCGUCGGGUAGCAUGCUAUUCGGUGACACACCUAACGGAUAAGCAUCC
This 497-nucleotide ribosomal RNA is filed under the name uncultured bacterium. RNAcentral's name for it is "bacterial SSU rRNA". It matches the Rfam family "Bacterial small subunit ribosomal RNA", at positions 353 to 869 of the family's 1533-position model. The record is from RNAcentral.